UACGUAGGGUGCGAGCGUUAAUCGGAAUUACUGGGCGUAAAGCGUGCGCAGGCGGUUUUUUAAGCCAGAUGUGAAAUCCCCGGGCUUAACCUGGGAAUGGCAUUUGGGACUGCAAGGCUGGAGUGCGGCAGAGGAGACUGGAAUUCCUGGUGUAGCAGUGAAAUGCGUAGAUAUCGAGAGGAACACCUGCGGCGAAGGCGGGUUGCUGGGCUGACACUGACGCUGAGGCGCGAAAGCUAGGGGAGCGAACGGG
Molecule: ribosomal RNA, 253 nt
Filed under: uncultured bacterium
Lineage: Bacteria
Description: partial 16S ribosomal RNA
Rfam family: Bacterial small subunit ribosomal RNA
Source: RNAcentral